GCGAGCGGCGGUUGACGGCCGGCUCGAGCAGCCAGUGGGAAGACGCGCUGCCGUCGUGAGCCGCGGGUGGGCGGUUACGUUUGGGAGAAGAAUAUGCAAGUCUGUCUUUCUCACCUUGAGAACUUCAGCAUUGAGCCAUCAUGUUGUGCCACAGGAUAAUUUGUAAGCUUGCAGUACUAUGACCUACAACAGUGUGAAGAUGUGCUUUCUGGCUUAAAUCAGCACAGAAGGAUAUACAAACUCCCACUGCCUAUUCACAUUACCUCUAACCUCAGAUGAUGCCAAUGAUAAAUUACAAUUCAUUAUUAACUACCUGUAUGACUGAUGUGCUAGGAGGUUCUUCUGAUUCUGAGGCUCAGGAGAGGCAAAGUGAAUCUCACUAAAGGGAAGAACAGCCUGAAGAUGGUGUCUUCACUGAAGAGUAGUUACUUUAAAAUGUGUCUUGUGAACGAGUCUUGCAGUCGGCCUGAGGAUGCCUAUGUGCCCAUGAUACAGCAUGAUUAGCAGCCUCUGGAGAUUACCACCUGAAAACUACACACCACAAUUCGGAGACCUUCUUGGGAGAAGAAUUUAUACAGUACCUGAUGGCAAUUUGCCUGGCUUCAGCCAAAUAUAUUGAUUGCUAGAUGCAUUAAUUUUAGGAAGCAGACUUUCUCUGUUUUUAUCAAAGAGCCAAUACAUAACUGUGAAAUCAUUUAGCUGGCUUAACUAAGAUUAUUUGACAAGGAGAACAGUUAUAUUAAUAUAACUGAGAAUGUCUUUGUUUGAUUGCCCUUCUCUUUCAAACAACAAUGUUACGAUCAAAUCAAAGGAUCCUAAAACAUUGUUAUUGCUACAUUAGCAGUCCUACAGAGGAAAGAUGUCAGACAAGGUAAUAAAAAUAUCUAAAACUGGCUCAGUAUUAGCAAGGAGGUCUCUUCUUUUCGAACUGUCUCUAGCUCUUAGUGUGUUUGCCUUUGUUUUCCUUGCAAGUCAUCUGUAUGGAGUUUGUUGCUUAUUUUGUUGCUUAAUGUUGUCUGCCUCUCCUCCUUCACACAAUCCUCAGUUCAACACUUGUCUUUUCGAAAAAUAAAUAAAGGUUCCUUUCUAUACUGACUUUUUAAG
Molecule: long non-coding RNA, 1104 nt
Organism: Phasianus colchicus (ring-necked pheasant)
Lineage: Eukaryota; Metazoa; Chordata; Aves; Galliformes; Phasianidae
Source: RefSeq, a predicted model, not a curated record